This 433-nucleotide ribosomal RNA is filed under the name uncultured bacterium. RNAcentral's name for it is "partial 16S ribosomal RNA". It matches the Rfam family "Bacterial small subunit ribosomal RNA", at positions 29 to 507 of the family's 1533-position model. The record is from RNAcentral.
AACGAACGCUGGCGGCAUGCCUAACACAUGCAAGUCGAACGAGACCUUCGGGUCUAGUGGCGCAAGGGUGCGUAACGCGUGGGAACCUGCCCUUAGGUUCGGAAUAACUCCCCGAAAGGGGUGCUAAUACCGGAUAAUGUCUUCGGACCAAAGAUUUAUCGCCUUUGGAUGGGCCCGCGUUGGAUUAGCUAGUUGGUAGGGUAAAAGCCUACCAAGGCGACGAUCCAUAGCUGGUCUGAGAGGAUGAUCAGCCACACUGGGACUGAGACACGGCCCAGACUCACCGGGGAGGGGGCGGGGGGAAAUAUUGGAAAAGGGGCGAAGGCUAGAUCGAGCAUCGCCGGGUGAUGGUGGAAGGCUUUGGGGUUGAAAAUUUUUUUUACCCGGGAGGAUAAGGACAGGACGGGAAAAAGAAGCUCCGGCAAACCCCGUG